RNAcentral lists this ribosomal RNA (501 nucleotides) under uncultured bacterium. RNAcentral describes it as "partial 16S ribosomal RNA". It matches the Rfam family "Bacterial small subunit ribosomal RNA", at positions 28 to 523 of the family's 1533-position model. The record is from RNAcentral.
GAUGAACGCUAGCGACAGGCUUAACACAUGCAAGUCGAGGGGCAUCAUGAGGUAGCAAUACCUUGAUGGCGACCGGCGCACGGGUGAGUAACGCGUAUGCAACCUGCCCGAUACCGGGGUAUAGCCCAUGGAAACGUGGAUUAACACCCCAUAGUACUAUUAUCCUGCCUGGGAUGGGAGUUAAAUGUUCAAGGUAUCGGAUGGGCAUGCGUCCUAUUAGUUAGUUGGCGGGGUAACAGCCCACCAAGACGAUGAUAGGUAGGGGUUCUGAGAGGAAGGUCCCCCACAUUGGAACUGAGACACGGUCCAAACUCCUACGGGAGUCAGCAGUGAGGAAUAUUGGUCAAUGGACGUAAGUCUGAACCAGCCAAGUCGCGUGAGGGAAGACUGCCCUAUGGGUUGUAAACCUCUUUUAUAAGGGAAGAAUAAGUUCUACGUGUAGAAUGAUGCCUGUACCUUAUGAAUAAGCAUCGGCUAACUCCGUGCCAGCAGCCGCCGUAA